GUUGUUGGUUGUUCUAGGUGACUACCGAUUAUGCUGUUCUUUCUGUACUAACUCAAGCUCAUUCUAGAUUACAUAAGUGUGUGACUUUGCUAAGUCCAUUAUGCAAAUAUACAUCUAUACACAGUCUGCCCUUUCUAAUUAAUCAUGCUUGUUGGAUGAUAUGCGAACUGGAUUCAAAAAUAAGAGAGCUUAGUAUUUACCUGCGAAUGCUUGUGUUUGGGUGGCUGCUGUGUGAUUGAAUCGGUGGG
This 248-nucleotide long non-coding RNA is filed under the name Salvia miltiorrhiza (redroot sage). RNAcentral describes it as "long non-coding RNA (SMIL_LNC001293)". The record is from RNAcentral. Lineage: Eukaryota; Viridiplantae; Streptophyta; Magnoliopsida; Lamiales; Lamiaceae.